RNAcentral lists this ribosomal RNA (294 nucleotides) under Eimeria sp. LBA-2011. RNAcentral describes it as "partial small subunit ribosomal RNA". It matches the Rfam family "Eukaryotic small subunit ribosomal RNA", at positions 712 to 1006 of the family's 1831-position model. Lineage: Eukaryota; Apicomplexa; Conoidasida; Eucoccidiorida; Eimeriidae. The record is from RNAcentral.
CCUUCCGCGCUUCGCUGCGUGUGUUGGUGUUCCGGAACUUUUACUUUGAGAAAAAUAGAGUGUUUCAAGCAGGCUUGUCGCCCUGAAUACUUCAGCAUGGAAUAAUAAGAUAGGACCUUGGUUCUAUUUUGUUGGUUUCUAGGACCAAGGUAAUGGUUAAUAGGGACAGUUGGGGGCAUUCGUAUUUAACUGUCAGAGGUGAAAUUCUUAGAUUUGUUAAAGACGAACUACUGCGAAAGCAUUUGCCAAGGAUGUUUUCAUUAAUCAAGAACGACAGUAGGGGGUUUGAAGACG